UCCACAGCAGGGGGCGGCGGAGCCAAGAUGGCCGAAUAGGAACAGCUCCAGUCUACAGCUCCCAGCGUGAGCGACACAGAAGAUGGGUGAUUUCUGCAUUUCCAUCUGAGGCAAAGCCCUCCUGUUCCCAGCCCCAAGUCGGUUAAACCCAUGUUAAAUCUAUAGGUUGAAGACCUGGAUCAUUCGAAGCCCAGAGCCUUGCACAGCAGCGAUCUGCUCCAACAGAGGGUGAUGUCAUCAUCCGAGGCCACACAAAUAAUGCAUUUCUCACCAUCAAAAAGCUUCUGAAGCCAUGUUCUCAAAGGCAAAAAAUAAAUAAAUAAAUAACCAAUUAACUACA
This is a long non-coding RNA of Homo sapiens (human), 340 nucleotides long. RefSeq lists it as uncharacterized. NCBI's taxonomy places the organism in Eukaryota, Metazoa, Chordata, Mammalia, Primates, Hominidae. The record is from RefSeq and is a predicted model, not a curated record. The transcript is spliced from 2 exons.